Nematostella vectensis (starlet sea anemone) is the source of this 1309-nucleotide long non-coding RNA. RefSeq lists it as uncharacterized. The transcript has 3 exons. Lineage: Eukaryota; Metazoa; Cnidaria; Anthozoa; Actiniaria; Edwardsiidae. The record is from RefSeq and is a predicted model, not a curated record.
CAAUCCGCAAUCUUAUAUGGCAUGCUACGGUUCUGGCCCAGCUCUAGUGUGUGCUAUAAAUGUAUUUAUAAAUAUAAUAAAAUACAGAGUUUGGACCAUUAUUUGAAGUCUUGUUUAAUUCUAUGUUAUUGCAAUAAAAACACUGUACAGUGUGUUGCCCAAGAUCAACACUUUCUAACGAACUUUGGCAAAUGAUACACGAUACAAGCAAGUAAAUUGUCCUAUGUCCAAGCCGCAAGGACAUGUAGUCCAGCUUAUCUUUAUCAUCGUGCUCUUGUAAACGCUGUCAGUAAGGUAAUUUAUACAUAUUCUAUGCUUUUAAUUUGAAUGGUCUCUGGUUAUAUCAGAAGAUGUAGCAAAGCCGGUGAUAGGAAGGCUCCCUGUUCUUUCUUUCUCAACAAGUAAAUAAACACUACUUAUGGUAAAUAGUUUGUUGUUUAGGUGUAUCGGCCUUGUAACUAGAUACUCUAGCGGCUCCCCUGCCUUGAAUUUUAACGCUUCGUGUGUGGGUUAGGGCUAGGCCCGAAGAACAUUAAACAGAUAACAUAAAUAUAAAAAUAAAUAUGAAAAUAAAUAUAAGGCUGAAUACUGUCCUUUUAUAUUUAUGACUGAGAACUUAGGGUUACGCUCCUGACAGUUCUUGUAUGUCAACAGAAUAUACCACUUCAAACAAAUUCGGACGACUGCGGUGUUUUUGUUUGCCAAAUUGCUAGAUGUCUAGGGCUAUACAGCGCCAUCGAUUUUGAGCAGAGAGAUGUGCCUAUCUUGAGGCAACGGAUGGUUUUGGAGAUCGAGGCAGGGCGUCUGUUUGACCGAGACCACUGUUUCAUGUCCUAGGACAAGACAGGCAACCUGUACGCUUGGCUGUCUGUUAGACUUGUGGAAGAAAACCUUUUACGACUCCAAUCAAUCAACUCCUGCAGAUGUUUAUAUCAUAACAUAUCGUGCAAAAUCGUCCUUCAGGAAAUCCAAUAUCUUUUCAGAACAAUAAAUGGGACAAACAUAAUCAAAGUGAUACCGCUUUUCUUUUCCAUAGUGUAUCACGCACAAACGAAACAAUCCUGUGUAGAGUCAAUUAUAAAUGUAAAUAAAAUUAUUUCAAAUAAAUUUAUUCAUUGUGUAAUAUUUCAACCAAAUAUGUAAUAUUUACAAAUUUCAACCACAAACCAUUUGCAUAAUACCCUUGGUAUAAGAAAAUGAGAAAGUACAACCUCCUUAUAGACAAUUCUUAUUGAUGUAUUACACACGAGAUUGGAAUAGUUAUGGAGGCUGGUGUCACUCGUAUAUUUCAAUAAAUUCAUGCAUUUAA